RNAcentral lists this long non-coding RNA (1995 nucleotides) under Citrus sinensis (sweet orange). RNAcentral describes it as "long non-coding RNA (CSIN_LNC002865)". Lineage: Eukaryota; Viridiplantae; Streptophyta; Magnoliopsida; Sapindales; Rutaceae. The record is from RNAcentral.
AACGAACAAACGUGGGAAUUGAAAAACGGAACAAGGGGACAAAAUCGUAAUGUGGAGAUGACAGUCCGACUCUGUCUCCAAGCGCAACACGAAAGCUACGCAAAAACGGCGAGGAAUGAAGACCCCUGCAGCGUUCAUUUCCCAAAAACCUCCAUCUCCACUUUUUCUCAAAUUCACCAGCAACUGCAAUUCAAAGCUCUUAUGCGCCAACAGAAGCCAAACUAUUCAGUGUGGACAAAUCAAGAGCUUCGAGAAUCAACCUCAGAAAUGGAGCAUUGAUUUCAAGUCCGGUUCGGAGCCUAUUCAUUUGAUCCAAAAUUCUAUUUCCACCGCCGCCACGUCUGCCUCGGAAUCGGCUUCCAGGACUAUGAAAAAGGUCUGCCUUUUUUACUGCCCCGAGACCCAUUCGCUUGCUGAGCGAGUGGCUGCUCAGUCUGAUGCCAUUGAGCUCCGUAGCAUCAACUGGAGGUAAUUUUAUCAUUUCGCCCUCCAUUUUCUUUUUCUUAAUGUUUUCCUCCUUUAGUUUUGUUAGAUGUACGAGGAAUGGCAAAUUUUUCAGGUGCUUUUAAUUUUAGCCAAAAGUUAUUUUUUAUCCGACUAAAAUGGCCAACAAAAAUGGGGGAAAAAGAAGAAAAAAUAUAUUUGAUUUCUCGCUCUGUAAAUCAGCUCAAAAUUAGAGCUUUUGGGCCCCUGUGGUCCCGCAUCUAAAAGGCGUUGUCAAUUUAGUGAUGAUUUUUCACCAAGUAUUAUAUGUGAAAUGAUUCAAUCACUAUUCAUAAGCUUGUGCAGUUGUGCUGUGCGGUGUAUUGCUACGGACAGGUUUGAAUUAGACAUUACUUAAGUUGCCAUUCUUGCUUGUCUAAAUUUGAGAAAAGCAAAUGAUUCAAGUUCUAGUUAUUGCGUUUUAACAUUUUUAUGCAAUUUGAAACUCUAGGAAAUUCAAAGAUGGAUUCCCCAACUUAUUUAUACCAAAUGCUCAUGGCAUUCGUGGACAGCAUGUAGCUUUUCUGGCCUCCUUUAGUUCUCCGGGUAAAAUUUUUGAGCAGCUAUCUGUGAUCUAUGCGUUGCCGAAACUGUUCGUCUCUUCGUUCACACUUGUGCUUCCUUUCUUUCCCACCGGCACUUCUGAACGCAUGGAGGAUGAGGGAGAUGUUGCAACAGCUUUCACUCUUGCUAGGAUCUUGUCAAAUAUACCAACUUCUAGGGGGGGACCAACUAGCUUAGUGACAUUUGAUAUACAUGCAUUGCAGGUUUUUUAUUUUGAAAUGAUUUAUUCCGCUAGUUAAUUAGCAAUUAUAUUUUUCUUCGAUUGCUUUGCUUGUGGUCAAUUAUAUAUUAUAUAUUCUUAUUUCAUUCAUUUUAUAAUAAAAAUUUUAAAGACUUAUUUAUUAAAAUAAUUUUAUAAUUUUAAAUAAAACUGUAAUUCAGAACGAAACAAACGCUGUCUUGUAAAAAAAAAAAAGCGCUAAAAUAUUUUACUCAAAUAAAUAAAAAGCUUUGCCGAACAUAAACGGCGUCGUUGAGGGCAGCAGUGCCUCAUGGCUCAUAGUCAUAGCAGGCAGGCAGCACGCAGCAAAUAGCAUAUCAACGAACAAACGUGGGAAUUGAAAAACGGAACAAGGGGACAAAAUCGUAAUGUGGAGAUGACAGUCCGACUCUGUCUCCAAGCGCAACACGAAAGCUACGCAAAAACGGCGAGGAAUGAAGACCCCUGCAGCGUUCAUUUCCCAAAAACCUCCAUCUCCACUUUUUCUCAAAUUCACCAGCAACUGCAAUUCAAAGCUCUUAUGCGCCAACAGAAGCCAAACUAUUCAGUGUGGACAAAUCAAGAGCUUCGAGAAUCAACCUCAGAAAUGGAGCAUUGAUUUCAAGUCCGGUUCGGAGCCUAUUCAUUUGAUCCAAAAUUCUAUUUCCACCGCCGCCACGUCUGCCUCGGAAUCGGCUUCCAGGACUAUGAAAAAGGUCUGCCUUUUUUACUGCCCCGAGACCCAUUCG